GACGAACGCUGGCGGCGCGCCUAACACAUGCAAGUCGAACGGAGAUACUUAGAAGUUUACUUUUGGGUAUCUUAGUGGCGGACGGGUGAGUAACACGUGAGCAACCUACCCUUCAGUGUGGAAUAACGAUUGGAAACGAUCGCUAAUACCGCAUGACAUCUUGGGACCGCAUGGUUCUGGGAUCAAAGAUUUAUCGCUGAGGGAUGGGCUCGCGGCCGAUUAGCUAGAUGGUGAGGUAACGGCCCACCAUGGCGACGAUCGGUAGCCGGACUGAGAGGUUGAACGGCCACAUUGGGACUGAGACACGGCCCAG
RNAcentral lists this ribosomal RNA (313 nucleotides) under uncultured bacterium. Its description in RNAcentral is "bacterial SSU rRNA". It matches the Rfam family "Bacterial small subunit ribosomal RNA", at positions 28 to 334 of the family's 1533-position model. The record is from RNAcentral.